UAUCAAUGGAUGUUGCCCACU
This 21-nucleotide non-coding RNA is filed under the name Caenorhabditis elegans. Lineage: Eukaryota; Metazoa; Nematoda; Chromadorea; Rhabditida; Rhabditidae. The record is from RNAcentral.